RNAcentral lists this unclassified non-coding RNA (308 nucleotides) under uncultured fungus. RNAcentral describes it as "sequence contains ITS1". The stretch from base 1 to 105 matches the Rfam family "5.8S ribosomal RNA", at positions 50 to 154 of the family's 154-position model. RNAcentral also lists the same sequence under 1 other name. Lineage: Eukaryota; Fungi. The record is from RNAcentral.
GAAAUGCGAUAAGUAGUGUGAAUUGCAGAAUUCAGUGAAUCAUCGAAUCUUUGAACGCACAUUGCGCCCUUUGGUAUUCCAAAGGGCAUGCCUGUUCGAGCGUCAUUUGUACCCUCAAGCUUUGCUUGGUGUUGGGCGUUUUUUGUCCCUGGUUCGCCAGAGACUCGCCUUAAAGACAUUGGCAGCCGACCUACUGGUUUCGGAGCGCAGCACAUUUUUGCGCUUCUUCCAGCCAUGGUUGUGCGUCCAUGAAAGCCAUUUUUUCAACGUUUGACCUCGGAUCAGGUAGGGAUACCCGCUGAACUUAA